AAACGACUCUCGGCAACGGAUAUCUCGGCUCUCGCAUCGAUGAAGAACGUAGCGAAAUGCGAUACUUGGUGUGAAUUGCAGAAUCCCGUGAAUCAUCGAGUCUUUGAACGCAAGUUGCGCCCGAAGCCUUUCGGCUGAGGGCACGUCUGCCUGGGUGUCACGC
Molecule: ribosomal RNA, 163 nt
Filed under: Viola grandisepala
Lineage: Eukaryota; Viridiplantae; Streptophyta; Magnoliopsida; Malpighiales; Violaceae
Description: 5.8S ribosomal RNA
Rfam family: 5.8S ribosomal RNA
About the family: 5.8S ribosomal RNA (5.8S rRNA) is a component of the large subunit of the eukaryotic ribosome. It is transcribed by RNA polymerase I as part of the 45S precursor that also contains 18S and 28S rRNA.
Source: RNAcentral